This 317-nucleotide ribosomal RNA is filed under the name Rubrivivax sp. 1015. RNAcentral's name for it is "bacterial SSU rRNA". It matches the Rfam family "Bacterial small subunit ribosomal RNA", at positions 1103 to 1430 of the family's 1533-position model. The record is from RNAcentral. Lineage: Bacteria; Pseudomonadati; Pseudomonadota; Betaproteobacteria; Burkholderiales; Sphaerotilaceae.
CCUUGUCAUUAGUUGCUACGAAAGGGCACUCUAAUGAGACUGCCGGUGACAAACCGGAGGAAGGUGGGGAUGACGUCAGGUCAUCAUGGCCCUUAUGGGUAGGGCUACACACGUCAUACAAUGGCCGGUACAAAGGGCUGCCAACCCGCGAGGGGGAGCCAAUCCCAGAAAACCGGUCGUAAUCCGGAUCGCAGUCUGCAACUCGACUGCGUGAAUCGGAAUCGCUAGUAAUCGCGGAUCACUUGCCGCGGUGAAUACUUCCCGGGUCUUGUACACACCGCCCGUCACACCAUGUGAGCGGGUCUGCCAGAAUAUUA